CCCUUAGAUGUUCUGGGCGGCCCGCGCACUACACUGGCACUCUCAAUCAGAGCCUGGAUCUAACACUUUGGGGUAUUCUAUGAAGUGGUGUCGUGACUGGGAUUAACCCUUGCAAUUAUUGGUUACGAACGAGGAAUUCCUUGUAAUCGCGGUUUAUCAGCCCGCGUUGAAUGCGUCCCUGCCCUUUGUACACACCGCCCGCCGCUCCUACCGAUGGAUCGUCCGGUGAAGCUCAUGGAGGGGCGGUUGUCUCAGCUGCCGUCGAAGUGAAAUGGACCUCACGAUCUAGAGGAAGGAGAAGUCGUAACA
This 309-nucleotide ribosomal RNA is filed under the name uncultured eukaryote. RNAcentral describes it as "partial 18S ribosomal RNA". It matches the Rfam family "Eukaryotic small subunit ribosomal RNA", at positions 1470 to 1796 of the family's 1831-position model. The record is from RNAcentral.